Molecule: transfer RNA, 133 nt
Filed under: Talaromyces rugulosus
Lineage: Eukaryota; Fungi; Ascomycota; Eurotiomycetes; Eurotiales; Trichocomaceae
Description: Penicillium rugulosum tRNA
Rfam family: tRNA
About the family: Transfer RNA (tRNA) molecules are approximately 80 nucleotides in length. Their secondary structure includes four short double-helical elements and three loops (D, anti-codon, and T loops). Further hydrogen bonds mediate the characteristic L-shaped molecular structure. tRNAs have two regions of fundamental functional importance: the anti-codon, which is responsible for specific mRNA codon recognition, and the 3' end, to which the tRNAs corresponding amino acid is attached (by aminoacyl-tRNA synthetases). tRNAs cope with the degeneracy of the genetic code in two manners: having more than one tRNA (with a specific anti-codon) for a particular amino acid; and 'wobble' base-pairing, i.e. permitting non-standard base-pairing at the 3rd anti-codon position.
Source: Rfam by way of RNAcentral
GGCAAUAUGACCGAGUGGUUAAGGUGAUUGACUCGAAUUCCCUUUAAAUUGGUUUCUGUCGUUUGAAUAGAAACGUUUAAAAGCUUGAUAUCAAUUCCCUUCGGGGGCGCAGGUUCGAAUCCUGCUGUUGUCG